UACAUAGCUUAAUGAGGGGAACUCAGGGAACUGAAACAUCUAAGUACCUGAAGGAAGAGAAAGAAAUUCGAUUCCGUAAGUAGCGGCGAGCGAACGCGGAUUAGCCCAAACCAAUAAAGUUUUCUUUAUUGGGGUUGCGGACAUAUCAUAACGAAGAGGUAUCGUAAUUGAAGAGGUUUGGAAAGACCCACCACAGAAGGUAAUAGUCCUGUAUGUUAAACGAGAAGACUUUAGAUAUGAUCCAGAGUACCACGGGACACGUGAAACCCUGUGGGAAGCAGGAGGGACCACCCUCCAAGGCUAAAUACUACCUAGUGACCGAUAGCGUAUAGUACCGUGAGGGAAAGGUGAAAAGAACCCCGGGAGGGGAGUGAAAUAGAACCUGAAACCCUGCACUUACAAGCUGUGGAAGCACAUUUCUUGUGUGACCGCGUACUUUUUGUAGAACGGGCCAACGAGUUACGUUAAGUAGCAAGGUUAAGCACUUAAGGUGCGGAGCCGUAGCGAAAGCGAGUUUUAACUGAGCGUUCAGUUACUUGACGUAGACCCGAAACCGGGCGACCUACCCAUGAGCAGGAUGAAGCGAAAGUAAAAUUUCGUGGAGGUCCGAACCCACGAGCGUUGAAAAGCUCGGGGAUGACUUGUGGGUAGCGGUGAAAUUCCAAUCGAGCCCGGAGAUAGCUGGUUCUCCCCGAAAUAGCUUUAGGGCUAGCCUCAAGGUGAGAGAUACGGAGGUAGAGCACUGAAUGUCCUAGGGGGUAUUGCACCUACCGAAGACUAUCAAACUCCGAAUGCCGUCAUCUUAUACUUGGGAGUCAGACUGUGGGUGAUAAGAUUCAUAGUCGAAAGGGCAACAGCCCAGAUCGUCAGCUAAGGUCCCUA
Molecule: ribosomal RNA, 882 nt
Filed under: Clostridioides difficile
Lineage: Bacteria; Bacillati; Bacillota; Clostridia; Peptostreptococcales; Peptostreptococcaceae
Description: bacterial LSU rRNA
Rfam family: Bacterial large subunit ribosomal RNA
Source: RNAcentral